GGAGGAAGUGGACUUUUGAUGGAUUAAUAUUGCAACGCUCUAUAACACGAUCGCGAGUGAAAUUACUUACAGCAAU
Molecule: transfer RNA, 76 nt
Filed under: Chlorobium chlorochromatii CaD3
Lineage: Bacteria; Pseudomonadati; Chlorobiota; Chlorobiia; Chlorobiales; Chlorobiaceae
Description: tRNA-Lys
Source: RNAcentral